RNAcentral lists this ribosomal RNA (243 nucleotides) under uncultured bacterium. Its description in RNAcentral is "partial 16S ribosomal RNA". It matches the Rfam family "Bacterial small subunit ribosomal RNA", at positions 92 to 334 of the family's 1533-position model. The record is from RNAcentral.
CGACCGGCGCACGGGUGAGUAACGCGUAUGCAACUUGCCUAUCAGAGGGGGAUAGCCCGGCGAAAGUCGGAUUAAUACCCCAUGAAACAGGGGUCCCGCAUGGGAAUAUUUGUUAAAGAUUCAUCGCUGAUAGAUAGGCAUGCGUUCCAUUAGGCAGUUGGCGGGGUAACGGCCCACCAAACCGACGAUGGAUAGGGGUUCUGAGAGGAAGGUCCCCCACAUUGGUACUGAGACACGGACCAA